GAGGGUAUAGUUCAAAUGGCAGAGCACGGGCUUAGCAUGCAUGAGGUCCUGGGUUCAAUUCCCAGUUCCUCCA
Molecule: transfer RNA, 73 nt
Filed under: Camelus bactrianus (Bactrian camel)
Lineage: Eukaryota; Metazoa; Chordata; Mammalia; Artiodactyla; Camelidae
Also listed under: 2 other names
Rfam family: tRNA
About the family: Transfer RNA (tRNA) molecules are approximately 80 nucleotides in length. Their secondary structure includes four short double-helical elements and three loops (D, anti-codon, and T loops). Further hydrogen bonds mediate the characteristic L-shaped molecular structure. tRNAs have two regions of fundamental functional importance: the anti-codon, which is responsible for specific mRNA codon recognition, and the 3' end, to which the tRNAs corresponding amino acid is attached (by aminoacyl-tRNA synthetases). tRNAs cope with the degeneracy of the genetic code in two manners: having more than one tRNA (with a specific anti-codon) for a particular amino acid; and 'wobble' base-pairing, i.e. permitting non-standard base-pairing at the 3rd anti-codon position.
Source: Rfam by way of RNAcentral